AGGAGGAAGGCAUAGUUAAAAAUACCACUACAAAGGAGAAGAAGUUAAAUGCGUCGGAGACUCUGGAAAAACUGGGCGCAAUAAUGACUUGGCAUAACAACACCCUCUACGCCGAUGCGGAUGUCAUAUUCCUCGUAACAGGGUUACAGCUUGAUAUCAAAGAAUCGUGGUGGACCGGGGAGUGGUAUGGACUGUCUUAUCGUCGAUCCAUCUGUUUUGGAAACUCUACUGUGGGAAUCAUUCAUGACGAUGGGGCCAAUUUCAACGGCGUACGACAGACAGCACUUCAAAUAGCCCUUA
Molecule: long non-coding RNA, 300 nt
Organism: Rhipicephalus microplus (southern cattle tick)
Lineage: Eukaryota; Metazoa; Arthropoda; Arachnida; Ixodida; Ixodidae
Source: RefSeq, a predicted model, not a curated record